This 253-nucleotide ribosomal RNA is filed under the name uncultured bacterium. RNAcentral's name for it is "partial 16S ribosomal RNA". It matches the Rfam family "Bacterial small subunit ribosomal RNA", at positions 524 to 776 of the family's 1533-position model. The record is from RNAcentral.
UACGUAGGGUGCAGGCGUUAAUCGGAAUUACUGGGCGUAAAGCGUGCGCAGGCGGUUUGCUAAGACAGGUGUGAAAUCCCCGGGCUUAACCUGGGAACUGCGCUUGUUACUGGCAGGCUUGAGUGUGGCAGAGGGGGGUGGAAUUCCACGUGUAGCAGUGAAAUGCGUAGAUAUGUGGAGGAACACCGAUGGCGAAGGCAGCCCCCUGGGCCAAUACUGACGCUCAUGCACGAAAGCGUGGGGAGCAAACAGG